Molecule: ribosomal RNA, 253 nt
Filed under: uncultured bacterium
Lineage: Bacteria
Description: partial 16S ribosomal RNA
Rfam family: Bacterial small subunit ribosomal RNA
Source: RNAcentral
UACGUAGGGUGCGAGCGUUGUCCGGAAUUAUUGGGCGUAAAGAGCUUGUAGGCGGUUUGUCGCGUCUGCUGUGAAAAUCCGGGGCUCAACCCCGGACUUGCAGUGGGUACGGGCAGACUAGAGUGUGGUAGGGGAGACUGGAAUUCCUGGUAUAGCGGUGAAAUGCGCAGAUAUCAGGAGGAACACCGAUGGCGAAGGCAGGUCUCUGGGCCACUACUGACGCUGAGACGCGAAAGCGUGGGGAGCAAACAGG